This 2719-nucleotide long non-coding RNA is filed under the name Solanum tuberosum (potato). RNAcentral's name for it is "long non-coding RNA (STUB_LNC008679)". The stretch from base 1886 to 1980 matches the Rfam family "Small nucleolar RNA Z266". Lineage: Eukaryota; Viridiplantae; Streptophyta; Magnoliopsida; Solanales; Solanaceae. The record is from RNAcentral.
GAAGACGGUUUGAAUAGCUCUUGUUGAGGUGUGGUGUUACAUUAUAUUUCAAGCAAGUUUUUUUUUAGUAAUUGCUUUGUUUGUUAUGGCAAGAAUGAUUGGAAACAAUUAGAUGUGCGAGGGGUGAAUUCCUCUUUGAGCUCAAACAUCGAGGCAUAUUGAUAUUCUGACUUGUCUUUAAGAACUACUUUCAUUUCAAUUUAGGAAAAAAAGAAGUCCUUUGAACUUUUGUUCAUAAAAGUCAGAUAUGAAUUUAAAUUGUUUUGAAAUGAGAAAGGUGCCAUCUUAUUUGAUUAUUGUGCCAAUUUUUGGGCUUAUGCUCCUUGUUUCUAUCUUAAUCAUAUGAGAUUAUAUAAUCCUAUUGGUUUCUGUAGAGCUUUUGUUGUUGUGGUGUGUACAUUAUCUUUCUAGUUCUAUUAUUAAAUUUGUUGUUUGUUAUGUCAAGAAUGAUGAAAAACAAUUAGAUGUGCGAGUGGUGAAUUCCUCUGUGAGCUCUACCAUCGAGGCUUAUUGAUAUUCUGACUUGCCUUAAUGUAGUACUUUCCAUUUGUUGUUCUAAGACAAAUUUUCAGCUGUAGAAACUUGUGGUCUUAAUUAUGCAUUUGUGUGUUUGAAAAAUUUGUCACAGUUAAAAAUGUAAGGUGCCAUCUUUUUGUUCAAACAAAUAGAUGCUUUGAAUCUCCCUAAUUGAGAUGUGGUUUACAUUAUAUUUCUACAUUUAUUCAUAACAUUACUUUGCUAUGGCAAGAAUGAUGAUAAACUAUUAGAUGUGCGAGUGGUGUAUACCUCUAUGAGCUCAAUCAUCGAGGCUUAUUGAUAUUCUGACUUGCCUUAAUGUAGUACUUUCCAUUUGUUGUUCUAAGACAAAUUUUCAGCUGUAGAAACUUGUGGUCUUAAUUAUGCAUUUGUGUGUUUGAAAAAUUUGUCACAGUUAAAAAUGUAAGGUGCCAUCUUUUUGUUCAAACAAAUAGAUGCUUUGAAUCUCCCUAAUUGAGAUGUGGUUUACAUUAUAUUUCUACAUUUAUUCAUAACAUUACUUUGCUAUGGCAAGAAUGAUGAUAAACUAUUAGAUGUGCGAGUGGUGUAUACCUCUAUGAGCUCAAUCAUCGAGGCUUAUUGAUAUUCUGACUUGCCUUCUUAAAGUACUUAUCAUUUUAAUCAAUAGGAAUAUAUUGAACUUUUGAAAUUUGUGAUCUCCAAAUUUGCUUCAUUAUAGAAUUUGUAAAGAUUUGUCAAAUUGUUUAUGUUAGAUUGGUUUCUUAUUUAGCCCUUAUUUGAAGUUACAUAUCAGGAUAUAGUAUAUACUUUUUAUGGGGUCACAUCCCUUGUAGGUUCUACCUUUUUCUUAUGGAAUUACAGAACCAAAGUCACUUUAAGUGACUCUAGUUGAGGUGUCUAUAUUUACCCUUUGUUAUUGCAAGCAUGAUGAAAAACAAUUAGAUGUGCGAGGGGUGAAUUCCUCUAUGAGCUCAAUCAUCGAGGCUUAUUGAUAUUCUGACUUGCCUUUGUGAUUUACUCUUUUAUGUUUUUGAUUUACAUGGUAUAGAUUGAUCCCUUUAAUGUGUUUGAACCUAGCUAUGACUAUAAAAGCUUAUUAUUAGCCGUACUAACAGAAAUUUGAGAAUUUCAAUGUAAAUUAUUAUCAAAUAUAUAAUUUGGUUGUUCUUUUGACAUUUUUAGUUAUUUUAGGCAGAUAUAGGAAUGAUGAAUAUCUAUUGUGUGAAGGGAGAACUCCCUGUUGAAUCUUUACACUAACCGCUUAUUGAUAUUCUGACCUUUCACUUUUGACAUUGUCUAUUCAUAAUGUAUUUGUUUUCACUCUUUCUUUCUCCUUGGGGUAUUGUGUGUGUGUAGGUGAUGUACCAAUACACUUUGGUAAUUCAUUUUAUGGCAAGAAUGAUGAGUCUAUUAGAUGUGCCAGGGGUGUAUUCCCAAUGAGCUAAAACUUCUGAGGCUUAUUGAUAUUCUGACUUGCCAACUCAAUUCAAGAACCUUUGUUUCCACAUCAUCUUACUUCUUUGUUCCGUCACACAGCCGAUACAACAUGUUUAGUUUGUCUGAGCAACAAAUCAGUUUUUUGUGUCCAUUCAUCACACAAAGUUGAUUUCUUUUUUUCUUUUGUUCGGCUUUUUAUGUUUCAGAGUUUCAUUUCCAGCUUGUCAAUGGUAAGGAGGAGGAAAUUACUAUAUGCAAGAGUCAGCAAAUGACUCUAUGAGCUCCAAUAUUUAUGCUAAUGUAUUCUGACUUACCAAACUUGUUCCAAUUUUAUUUCCUUUCUUUUCUUUCAAUUUUUUCUGAUUUAUUUGCUUUCUUGAUCUCAAAUUGGAGAUGCUCAAUUCCUGUUACUUUGUUAACCAUGUUUUGUAGAUUUACUAAACUCAUUUAUUCAGUUUUGACCAUGUUUUGUAGUUUUUACCACUUUCCAGAAUUGCUGUUUGCCCAUCGUUCUUCUUCUACUGUUUCGUGAAACAUUUGGAGUACUCCACAGUUCAAGUCUUGGUCAGCUAAGCUAGUCGACAUGGCUAUCAAGUAUAGCUCGUAACACGACCUUGGUGACUCAAUGAUGUUAAGAGGUUUGACUGGUAGAAUGACAAGCAAAGCACUAUUUGUACUUACUUUUGUUGAAUACAAUUUAUCAAAAACAAAUUUGGUACAUUUGAGCUUGUUAUUGUCAUACAAUUUAUUUUCGUUUGAUCCACUUGAAUCUGUUAUAAGUUGU